GUAUAUAAAUAUUACGAAAACAAAAAAUUAUGGCGGUACUUUAAGCUUUUCAGAGGAAUUUGCUCUUUUAUGAAUAAAACACCUAAAUCUUACUAAAAUUAGUAAAAUCAGUUUGUAUACCACUAUAAAAGURAUUAUUUAUUAUUAUUACUUAAUUUUCAAUUUAAAAAUUAAAUUAAGUCAUGGUGCAGCAAAAAUUUUAGGAUGAAGUGAAUUACAUUUUAAAUUUUAAAUUAGGAUUUGAAGGUAAAUAUUUAAUAUAAUGAAAUUUUGAAUUAAGCUCUAAAGUAUGUAC
This 295-nucleotide ribosomal RNA is filed under the name Amblyomma williamsi. RNAcentral's name for it is "partial 12S ribosomal RNA". Lineage: Eukaryota; Metazoa; Arthropoda; Arachnida; Ixodida; Ixodidae. The record is from RNAcentral.